GCCUCCGUAGCUCAGCGGAUAGAGCAACUGCCUUCUAAGCAGUGGGUCGUGGGUUCGAGUCCCGCCGGAGGCGCCA
Molecule: transfer RNA, 76 nt
Filed under: Fimbriimonadaceae bacterium
Lineage: Bacteria; Bacillati; Armatimonadota; Fimbriimonadia; Fimbriimonadales; Fimbriimonadaceae
Description: tRNA-Arg
Rfam family: tRNA
About the family: Transfer RNA (tRNA) molecules are approximately 80 nucleotides in length.
Source: RNAcentral